UACGGAGGGUGCAAGCGUUAAUCGGAAUUACUGGGCGUAAAGCGCGCGUAGGCGGUUUGUCACGCCAGAUGUGAAAGCCCCGGGCUCAACCUGGGAACUGCAUCUGGAACGGGCAGGCUAGAGUACAGCAGAGGAUAGUGGAAUUUCAGGUGUAGCGGUGAAAUGCGUAGAUAUCUGAAGGAACACCAGUGGCGAAGGCGACUGUCUGGGCUGAUACUGACGCUGAGGUGCGAAAUCGUGGGGAGCAAACAGG
This 253-nucleotide ribosomal RNA is filed under the name uncultured bacterium. RNAcentral describes it as "partial 16S ribosomal RNA". It matches the Rfam family "Bacterial small subunit ribosomal RNA", at positions 524 to 776 of the family's 1533-position model. The record is from RNAcentral.